Molecule: long non-coding RNA, 7589 nt
Filed under: Citrus x clementina
Lineage: Eukaryota; Viridiplantae; Streptophyta; Magnoliopsida; Sapindales; Rutaceae
Description: Citrus clementina (C. clementina) long non-coding RNA (CCLE_LNC006501)
Source: RNAcentral
GGGUUUGUCUAAUUUCGUUUUGCUUCUUCUUCCUCUUUCGUGAGUUUUCUGCACAUGCUUUCUCUCUCACUCAAAACCGUGAGCAACCCAUCCAUUUUCACCUCCAUUUUCUUCCUUUUUUCAUCCAUUUUCAUGCCCAAAUCAACCAUUCAAACUAAUACCCAUGCAUUUCAUCUUCAUUAAACACUUCUCCAUCAUGAUUUCUUCACUUGUUCUUCAUCAUUCCAUCCUCAUUCCAUUCCCGCAUGAAUAGUGCUCUCCAUUUUCUUUCUCAAAUUUCUUCAUCUUUCACUCAUUUUCUUGUUAAAAUCAAUCAUCCAACUCAUUAUUCAUCCAUUACUCCUUCAAUUUUCACUCUCAAAACUUGAUUUCAUCAUCUCUCCACAUAAAACCCAAAAUCAAAAAUUCUCACUCUACCCGUUUCUCUCUCUUCAUUUUUCAAGCAUCCUUUAGCUCAUUUUUAAUCAUAAACUAGCUUCAUUCAUCUCUAGGAUUGAUUCUCUUGCCUCAAACAAAUCCGUUGUACUCAAACUUUGUUAAAACCCGAAAUUGCAUUUUUAAGCUCUUUUUUCUUCCAACAAUGGCGGGUGGUGACAAAUCCAAGGGGAAACACGUGGCCAAGAAGCGUAAAGAUGAUCAUGGAGAUUAUUCGGACUUUAUGUUGAUUCAUUUUCCUCGACUCCAACUUCGGAAAUAUUUUCUCGACCAUUUCAAACCAAGGACGGUAAUUACUCCUCAUUUUGUCAAUCUCAAUAAUAUGAAGAAUUUAGAAAUUUGUGAUAAUUCUCUUAAAGAUUUACUUAUUGCUAUGGGAUGGAAGAAUGUGUUGGUCGUUAAUGAUCCUUACUAUGCAAAUUUAGUCAAGGUUUUCUAUUCGAAUAUGGAUACGGAUGUGUCAAAUAGAAUUGUUACUAAUGUUGGGAGAAUUCACAUUGAAUUUGAUGUUGCUUUGCUAAAUUCUAUCCUUGGCACUCCAAAUGAGGGAUUGGAAAUAUAUCAAACAACCUUGGUUUUCUCUUGAAAAUGCCGUUCGAAAAAUUUGUCGACGACGUGAUUUGUCCACUGCAUUCUGUAACUCACCUUUGAAAUCUCAAGCCUUACCUCUUCAAACUCGAAUCCUUCAUUAUGUUCUCCAUCAUGUGAUUACUCCUAGGGGGGGUCAUGCGGAUGAAGUUAGUCGUUUAGAUGUAGCCAUUUUGGACUGCAUUCUAGAGGAGAGGGUGCUAAAUAUUGGGUAUAUUAUUCUUAAUCAUAUGCUUAGUACUGCCAAUUUAGCCAAAAGAUCCCUUCCAUAUGCUAGUAUUAUUACUCAAAUUCUAGAGUAUUUCCAUGUCCCUAUAACCGAGUCAAUCUCCUCGAAUUCGAGGGAAUUAGGCGAUGAUUCAAUCGCUAAUCUGGGAUUUUAUUGGAGGGAUGAUAGCUGGCAUAAAGAUCAAAGAACCAAAAAGGUUACGGACCUUGCUCCUUCAGAUCAUCGUUUCUUUAACAAUGUCCGUCCCCCACACUUGCUUCGUGAUCUUAGUGCUCCAUAUCUCUCACAUCCUCCACCUUCCGAGGGUCCUUCCCACUCUACUUCAGCUGACUCUGAGGAGAGCGUCUCUUUGCUCCAGUCUAUGCUUGAAGCUUUUCAACUUCAGUCCAUUUCCGAGCGAGAGCGUCUCUUUGCUCAACAGCAGCAGCUUCUUGAUGGCCAGCAGCAACUUUUUGCAGCCCUUGGAUUUCCACCCCCAUCCUCUUCCUCACAUCCACCAUCUCCUUAGUACUUUAUUUUAUUUUGUUAUUUGUCACUCUGCACUACAUUUAUUCAUGCAUUGUUGUUUUUUCAUUUGCGGAUUAUAUCUUGUUAUUUGAUCUUCGGAAAUGUUAUAUUUGGAUGAUGUUUUAUGCUUAAUUCUUAUGUGUUGCUUGAUGACUUGGUGGAGUUGUUGGUUUGUUAUACUUAAGCUUAUAUGGAAGUGUUUUUAAUUACAUUGUGUAUUUGAGGAUUUGUUCAUUUUUAAGGGGAGACUCUGCCGAAAUUUUUGCUCGCACACAAUUGGUAAUAUCUUUCUUGAAUCAUUUUUUAUGAUCUUGUUUUCAAUUGCAUGUUUCUAUUUUUUUUAAGAGGGUAAUAAACAUGAUGAGUUUUUUAUAAUGAUAUUUUGGUUAAAUAUUUUCAGUCUUAGCAUGAAUUACUAGUAAUUUUGAUGAUGAAGGGGGAGAAGUCAUGUAUUUUGAAUAUAAAGACAUGUAAUACAUAUUUUUUGUAUUUCAAGCAUUUAUGCAUGUUUUUGAAAUAUUAAGGGGGAGCUUUCAAAUUAUCAUAAAUCAAAUAUUCAGGGGGAGUUUUUGAUUUAUAUGUUUAAUCAUGUAUGCCAUGUAUUAAGGGGGAGUUUAAUAUCAAAAUACAUGAGAUGUUUGUCAUCAUCAAAAAGGGGGAGAUUGUUAGCCUAAAGGGCUACACAUAAUGUAAUUUUGAUGAUAACAAACAUGUGUCUUAAGUAACAAUAAUAAAUAUUGUAUUUCACAUUUACACUAGUUUUUUAAGGAUAAUAUUUAUGCAAGUGAAUCAAGUGAAAUCAAGAUUGAAGACACUCAACGGACAACGGCGAAAUCAAGAAUAAAGCUUAGAGCUCAACGGACGAAUUAUUGCGACAAAUUCUUGUAAAGCCGGUAUGAUUUAAUUGAUGCAUGAUUUAGCAUUUGAGAAGCUCAAGAGAUUAAUUUAAUUAAAUACUUUUCAUAAACUAAAAUAUUUUAUUUUUAUAAAGUAAAGUAUUUUGUGGAUUUGAGUAAACUGGACUUAAAUGUUAAGAUUUGAAAUCUUUGAUUUUAAUAAGUAUCAAAUUUCGGAGUUGGAUGUUUUUACAAAUAUUUUAAAUGUUUUGGGCCAUACUAUAAUUUAUGAAUAUUUUGAACUAAAGUGAAAGGUUUUGAGAACUUUGAAAAAUAUGGGUAUUAUGUUGAAAAGGACCUUUGUGCGAAACAAUAAAAUCUUUGGGGCUAUAUCAUAAUUUUAGGAAGUUUGGGAAAGAAAAUUAUUUUUGGGAAGUUCUGAAAUUGGACAUAUUUGUAAAGUUUUCUGACGUUUUGGGCCAUAGUAUAAUUAUAGAAAGUUUUGGGCUAAAGUGUAAUUUCAAUGAACAAUGUUACUGUAGCAAAUUCAAAAAUAACGGUAAUAUUACUGUUCUUGAGCGGCUAGCCGGAUAAAUCAAGCGGCUAACCGCUUGAGCGCUGGAAUUUGCCUAUAACGGCUAGUUUUUGGCCUUCCACUAUAAAAACUCAACUCAAACUUCAUUUUAAGCACCAAUACACGCAAAUAUAAGAUCAUACAACAUAUAUUGAGCUUCCAAAACGCAAAUCAUUAUUGAUUGAAUCAUUGUUGAGCUAUUAGUUGCAUAUCAACUCUUAAAGAGAGUUUUUGUUGUAAUUUUCAUUCCUUAUCAAAUUGUGAGUGUUUAAGUGUGGGAAACACUUGGGGUGAAGAGAUUGGGGAGAUAAUCUCUUGGUUGUAAAGGUUCAUUGACACCUUGGAAGUCAAUUGUAAAAACUUGAAGCCUUGGGAGGCUUAGAUAGUGAAAUCCUCGAGCUCGGUUGGCUUGGAGGCGUGGACGUAGGCGGGGAUUGCCGAACCACGUAAAAAUCUGCGUGUUUGUUUUUCUCUUCCCUUGCUCUUUUAUUUUUACGCUUACUUGAAUUUAUUGUUCUCUAUUUCAUUAAGACGUUAGAUUGAUUUAUUGUGCGAAUCGUAUUGCAUUAAUUUUAAAAACCCAAUUCACCCCCCUCUUGGGUUGCGUUACUUGCAUUUCAGACUUUGUAUAGGUAAAGAGUGAUGUGGAGGUUCUGGAAUAUUUUGCAUAGGUUCAACAAUUAUUGGACAUGUAUGAGAAAUUGUCCUGUUAUUUAUGGUAGCUUGUUGUGAAUUCUAAUCAGUUGCUGUCUGUUCUGGAUGAUCUGAGUGACUUGAACUGCUGCUUCCAGAUCUUACAGAGUUCAGAUUACCAAUGCUGUUAUUGACAGACAAAGAAGAGAUAUGAUGGAUUUGCUGUGGUGUAAGGGAAUGAGAAGUUUGAGAACCAGCUUUAGCAUGACUAUGAAAAAUAGACUCAGUGGUAUAAGGAAAAACUGAUUCAUCAAAGGUAACAUGUCUUGCCACAUAGACUUGACCUAAGGAGUGUAAACAUUUGUAGCCCUUAUGUGAAGGACUGUAACCAAUGAAUAUGCACUUACUAGAAUGGUAGGCAAAUUUAUGUUUGUUGUAAUCUCUCAAGUAAGGAUAACAAGCACACCCAAAACAUCUGAGAAAAUCAUAAUCAGGUUUGUGUUUGAAUGUCUUUUCAUAUGGGGUUAAAAGUUGCAAAACAGGAGAUGGAAGUCUGUUGAUGUGAUAUACAGCAGUAUGAAAUGCAUCCCACCAGAGCUUAAAGGGAAUUUGAGCUUGAGCUAAGAGAGUCAGAUCCAAUUCAACAAUAUGCCUAUGCUUCAUUUCAACUAACCCAUUUUGAUGAUGAGUAUAAGGACAAGGGUGUCUAAAGAUGAUACCAGAUUGGUUUAAAACUCAGUGAAUGGUCUAUACUCUCCCCCCCAAUCAAAUUGCAUCUUAAUGGUUGUGCUAAACUGAUUUUCAACCUGCAGUUUAAAGAGCUUAAAGACUUUUAAUGCCUCAGACUUUAGCUUCAAAGGAUAAAUCCAUGUAUACCUGCUAAAGUCAUCUACAACACUUAAAUAAUACUGAUAACCAUCUCUAGAAAUAAUGGGAGAAGGACCCCAUAAAUCAGUGUGUAUAAGUUCUAGAAUUUUGGAGGUUUUGGUUUCAGUAAUUGGAAAAUGAAGUUUAUGUGUUUUGCCCAUUUGAUAGGCCUCACAGAUAUACUGAUGCUUUUGUUGUUUUUGAUAUGUAGGUAAAUGAAUAGAUUUUGCUGUCUUAAGUAUAUGUGUUAGCAUUUGAUGAUUGGGAUGACCAAACUUUCUAUGAAGUAAAAUAACUUUAUUGACUGAAGUUUUACAAGAUGAAUCAUCAGUUUGAUUACAUGAUUUUUGAGAUUCUGUAAUAACUCUAGAAGGAACAGAAUUGAAACAACAACAAGAAAGCAUAGACAAAGGUUUAUUGAAACACAUGUGAAAAAGAAAAGAUGAGUGUGAUAACUAAGAGGAUGAUGAUGAUUUCAAUAACAACUUAUAUAAUCCUUUCUCAGCAAGACCCUACAGAAGCACCUGUCCCUUCAGAGAAUCCUUCACAAAACAAACAUUUCCAAGAAAUUCAACAGACAAGUUGUUAUCAGUGGUAAGCUUUGAGAUACUUAACAAAUUUUUGGUAAUGGAAGGCACCAAUAGAAUAUCUUUAAGUGCUAUAGGUGAGUGUUUGUGUGUAGAAUUGGAACUUUUAAAGAGAAAGAAUGCAUCACCAACAUGAGUUAUGGGCAAACCUUGUCCAUUUCUAAUAAUGGGCUGAUAUGCUCCAGUGAAUUGAUCUCUGAUAUGCAUAUUAGCCAUGUUGUUAGUGAUGUGAUGUGUAGCUCCACUAUCAAGAUACCAUCCUUCAUCAGCUGGUCCUUCAAAGUUUGCAAUAUAAGCUGCUCCAGGUGCAGAAUGCAUAUCAAAUGAGUGAUGAUUUACUAAUGCAUUUAUAUCAGGUGGAUGAUACCCAUGAUAACCAGGAUACUCUGUAGCAAAUUAAUCUUCAAAUUGUGAAAAAAAGCCAAUUUGUGGAUCAAAGUUAGCCAUAUAAGUAGACUUAUGUCCUCUGCCCCUUCCAAAUUGUCUAGGUUGAGGAACAUAGCUAUCAAAGUGUCUGUGCCAACAAACAUCAGCUGCAUGUCUAGCUUUAUGACAAAUUUGACAAAUAGGCACACUAUCAUCAGAUCCAUUUCCAUUGGACAUUGAAGUUGAACCAUGAUUCAUAUUGAAAUUAUGCAUGUUGUUAAGCAUAGGUUUAUAAGCACAUGCAUUCAUUUGCUGUCCUCUGCCACCAGCAUUACCAGUAUAUCCACCAGCUGGAAAUCCUCUUGAAAAUGAAUUGAAAGACAUUCAUCUUCCUCCAUUUUGAUUCCUAUUACUAGCAUUAAAUUGUCCUUGAUAUCCACUAUAACCACAUCUCCUAUUAUUUCCUCUAAACUGAGAGUAGCUAGCAUUCAUCAUCCCAUAGUUUGCAUUAAACGGAUCUUUAGUAUUCUGAUUUUGUUCCAGUCUUGCCUCAUGUGUUAAGAGUAAUGCACAAGCAUCAUCAUACGACAUCCUAUUAGCAGUAAUUAUUGAAGCAAGAUCUAGAAAUCCAAGUCCUAGGCCAUUCAAAAUUUGCAUUAGCAGAUCUUUCUCAGACACAGGACUACUAGCACAAGCAAGCUUAUCAGCAACAGCUUUUACUUUUAAACAGUACUCCUCAACAGACAUAUUCUCUUUUCUAAGGACAUUCAUUUCAUAUCUCAACUGCAUAACUCUAGCUUCAGAUUGUACUCCAAACUGUUUUUCAAUUGAUCUCCAUGCUUCAAAUGAAUUUUCGCAAUUAAGAACAGUAUUUAAGAUACCUUCACUUAUGGAGGAUAAAAUCCAUCCAAGCAAAGUUUGAUCCUGAGCUCGCCAAUUGAUGUAAGCUGGAUUCGUGAUUCUCUGUACUGAUCCAUCAGCUACUGUAUUAGAAAUAUAUUGUUCUGGUAUGAUUUGAUUUCCAGAAAUAAAAUCUUCAAGACGAUUUCCUCUUAUUGUAGUAAGAACUUGCUUUCGCCAAAUCAUGAAAUUUGAUCGAUCUAAUUUGACCGGAGUGCUGAAUGAAAAGGAGAUAUGUGAUGAUUGAUUUAUAUUCAUUUGAUUUGGAUUUGAUGUUGUGCUACUGGAACUAGCCAUUAGAGUGGCUCUGAUACCAUGAAAGAAAACGAAAUAAAGCUGUUUGGUUACUAAGAAAAUAAAUUGAUAAUUAUGGAGCUAUUUCUUAACAAACUUCGAUUCUUAUUUUACUUAACUUUAUGAUUACAAAGUAUCAUCUAUUUAUAUACAAUGCAAUCACGGCAACAUCAUUUAACUAAUCCAAAGACUAACUGUAAUAACUAACUUCAGUACAAUGCACAUCAUGCUUACAACCAUCUUUAACUAAUCUGCUGAGUUGUCAGCCGAGCUUGCACUGCUAACACACUUGCUCUGUAUUUUCUUCACCUUAGUCUGCACCUUCUUCUGUUCAGCAUAAUAAGCUGGUCUAACACCUCAUGGGUUUUGUUAUUAGGAUUAUGUAGUUGAGUUUGACUUCUAGUUUUGGAUGUUCCUUUGAAUGACCUACAAUUAAGCUAUAGCAUAGGUUAAGGUUCUGUUUCUGUGCUUUUAGUUACUCUUUUUCUUUGUUUUGAGUUUUUACAUGUAUCUCUUAUCUUAAUUUGAAUGAAUGAGUAUUCUAGAAUGUUGACUUAAGAUGUAUAUUUCCUUAUCGAUAGCUUGGAACAAACAGAUUGAGACUGUGAGCAUUAUGGAUUUUAAUUAUGAGGAAUUGCUGAGACGAACCGACCAAAUAUUGAAGUUCUCUGUUUGUAAUGUUCAUCGACUUGUGUUUAAGCUCUAUAUAUAUGUGUGUGUAAUUUUUUUAAUUAAGACUUGUAUGAAUGAUCUUCUUAGAAAUGUGCCGACAC